UGGGGAAUUUUGGACAAUGGGCGAAAGCCUGAUCCAGCAAUGCCGCGUGUGUGAAGAAGGCCUUCGGGUUGUAAAGCACUUUUGUCCGGAAAGAAAUCCUUGGCUCUAAUACAGUCGGGGGAUGACGGUACCGGAAGAAUAAGCACCGGCUAACUACGUGCCAGCAGCCGCGGUAAUACGUAGGGUGCAAGCGUUAAUCGGAAUUACUGGGCGUAAAGCGUGCGCAGGCGGUUUGCUAAGACCGAUGUGAAAUCCCCGGGCUCAACCUGGGAACUGCAUUGGUGACUGGCAGGCUAGAGUAUGGCAGAGGGGGGUAGAAUUCCACGUGUAGCAGUGAAAUGCGUAGAGAUGUGGAGGAAUACCGAUGGCGAAGGCAGCCCCCUGGGCCAAAUACUGACGCUCAUGCACGAAAGCGUGGGGAGCAAACAGGAUUAGAUACCCUGGUAGUCCACGCCCUAAACGAUGUCAACUAGUUGUUGGGGAUUCAUUUCCUUAGUAACGUAGCUAACGCGUGAAGUUGACCGCCUGGGGAGUACGGUCGCAAGAUUAAAACUCAAAGGAAUUGACGGGGUCAUAGCUGUUUCCU
RNAcentral lists this ribosomal RNA (586 nucleotides) under uncultured bacterium. RNAcentral describes it as "partial 16S ribosomal RNA". It matches the Rfam family "Bacterial small subunit ribosomal RNA", at positions 355 to 1375 of the family's 1533-position model. The record is from RNAcentral.